UCCCCCUCCCACGAAACCCUAGCCAGCCACUGUUCCCAUGCCAUCCUCCCUUGCUCUCCCUGCCGCUGCCUUUUCCCCUUCCUCCCCUGCUAUGGUGGCUCGUGGCUUGAGCCUCGCCGCGCCGCAACUGCCCGCCCACCGAUGCCUCUCGCUGGAUCUGGCGAGCUUGUCAGGAGAAGGGAGAAGGAGCUUGGGGGAACGGCGGCGGCGGCAGCCGAAAGCAGGCGCGGUGGCAUGAGCUAGGGCUGGAAAUCGAUGGGACGCCACUAAUCUGGUCCCAGCGCAACACCCCAUUCACGAGAUUAGAGCUUGAGGUUGACGGCGAGGUGGUUGAUCCCGGCUCAGGAAAUUGGGCGGUCCGGACGGAUGUGCAGAGGUAAUUCUCCAAAGUAAACCUCCCCUCAUGUCCCAGCCACUUGAUUGUUCUUGCUGCCAUCCUCAAGAGCAAUGGAUCUAGCGAGUGGAUCUGCCUGGAACUUGUUCGUUCUUGAGUGCAUUCUGGGAGCACUGCAUCUAGCAAGUGGAUCUUUGCUUGUAUCCAUUUUUGCUUUGACGUCACUCUGCUGGUAUUUGGUGAAAAAAAAAGACAGGUAUACUUUCUUCCCUUUCCCCCACCUCUAAUGGUUUGUGCCUGCAAUGGAGCAAUCGAUAUGGUCAAAAAUGUUUUACCCACUGCAAUGAUCCUUCAGCUGAUAACACUCGGUUUCAGCAUGGUCAGGAUGGAUCGAUUUGUUGCAGAACAACAGAUCCAUCACCAAGCAGUCCAUUGCCAUCUCCACCAUGGGUUCCUUCAUUCUUAGUAGUCCGUUGCCAUCGUCAUCUUGGGCUCCUUAAUUCUUAGUGCAUGUAGAUUGCAGACCCGUUGGUGCAAGACAUGCUCUGCAAUGCAGAAAACUUCGCACCUCUGGCUCAAGUUAGUAUGGGAAAAGGUGGUGGCUGCUGGACUAUCAAUUGUCUGGCUUACUAUAUUUCUUGCAAUUCUGUAUACACACCCAGUGAUAACUUUAGGUUGCACGAGUUGAAAUUAUCUAGCAAUCAAACUUAGUGGCUUUUUACGAUUUACUGUCAAGUGAUAGAGACUCCCAUUACCUGACCUUGUACUGAAUAUAUAUGUCUCUUUCAGAGCUGCAAAUAGGGAUAGCAUUUUUUUACUAGAUGUUAAUCAUAGAUUUGCAUGGUAUGCAAAUUGCGCUUAACAUCUUCUCUUGAAACUAAAUUGUAGCUGUGGCUUUUCUUCCUUGCCAUUCGUGUUAUGGAUUGCACGAAUGAGUGCUGUAUAUAUUUUUUUUCGUGCCUUGCCAUUCAUAUUAAGGAUUGCAUGAAUGACUGCACAGCUUUUUAUUCUUUCUGUUGUUGAUGCACUGACCUUAGUUUCCUUUUGGCAAUGAUUGGCUCAUUAUCUUCAAAGGGUUUAGGUGGUAUGCGCUGCUGGGAAAAAGAUGAAAUUUGUCACUAGCAAAUACUUAAGGUAUAAGUUGUGGUGCAGUCCGAUUUGUAGCUAAUCUGGGGAUGAGCGACAUUUUUCUGAAUCAGAUUCAUUCAUUGCAAUAUAAAGCUUUAAAGGGCAAUAUAAGCAAUUUCGUUCUAGCUGAUGAUUAGUGGAUAGUAGCAAUGUAGUUUAAUUUUAGAAAGAAAAGGAGUGAUGCAUAGGGAAGGAAAACCUUUUGUUCAAAACAAAAUUAUAUCAUUAGAUUUCUCAAGACCUUGCUGUUUUGUGUUUUGCUAUUCAUUGAGCAUUUUACCUAAGGCCUAGUUGAACUAAAUUUUGCUUGAACUCUUGAACCCAGCCUCAUCCCGUCAGGACCUCAUCUUCGAUGCAAUUCCUAUGCAUCCAACAGCAAGAAAGUGGCGUCGAUUAAUCCCUAAGAGCGAGGGAUCGGAGUGGAUUGAGAAAAAAUAAUUCAACACCACAAUAAAAAUGAAAUAAAUUAUCUCUAAAUCUGCUGUCAAAUGACAAUUGCGUCUCAUCAAAGAACAUGAAACUUGGUUGGAUGUUUUGACUUAGUAAAAUUUUUAGGAUCCCUCAUUACAUGGAUCUAGUAUAAGCUGUUACCCUCUAGGGUUUAUUGUUUAUAGGGUAUAUUAUAUGAAUGCCUUUAUGAUGGUGACAUUUACAGGGGUAACCAA
Oryza sativa Japonica Group (Japanese rice) is the source of this 2127-nucleotide non-coding RNA. The record is from RefSeq and is a predicted model, not a curated record. Lineage: Eukaryota; Viridiplantae; Streptophyta; Magnoliopsida; Poales; Poaceae.